RNAcentral lists this ribosomal RNA (441 nucleotides) under uncultured bacterium. RNAcentral's name for it is "partial 16S ribosomal RNA". It matches the Rfam family "Bacterial small subunit ribosomal RNA", at positions 28 to 507 of the family's 1533-position model. The record is from RNAcentral.
GAUGAACGCUGGCGGCGUGCCUAAUACAUGCCAGUCGAACGGGGAGUCGCAAUACUCUUAGUGGCGAACGGGUGAGUAACGCGUUGGUACCUGCCCCGAAGCGGGGGAUAACGGACCGAAAGGUCCGCUAAUACCCCAUGUGCUCGGUAACGAGUAAAGGUGAAAACCACUUUGGGAGGGGCAUGCGUCCCAUCAGCUAGUUGGUAAGGUAACGGCUUACCAAGGCGAUGACGGGUAGGGGACCUGAGAGGGUGGCCCCCCACAAUGGAACUGAAACACGGUCCAUACACCUACGGGUGGCAGCAGUAGGGAAUAUUGGUAAUGGGCGCAAGCCUGAACCAGCAACGCCGCGUGUGCGAUGACGGCCUUCGGGUUGUAAAGCACUUUUGACUGGGACGAGGAAGGACGGUACCGGUCGAAUCAGCCUCGGCUAACUACGUG